GAUUCCACUAUCUGCCAAGAUGGGAUUCGAAUCAGGACUUCAGUCGUUUGUUUUAAUAUUCUGGAUAAAAGCUAAAUACAUCAGGAUAUUACAGGUGGUCAUUCAGAUGGUAAUCUCAGUAAAUGUUCUGCCAAACUCUGAUUGAAUUACUCAGUGUAUCAGUACCUGGAUAUUCGCGUUGUGUGUGGUGCUAGAUGGUGAAGGUUUGCAGACUGAAAUC
Molecule: non-coding RNA, 220 nt
Organism: Chiloscyllium plagiosum (whitespotted bambooshark)
Lineage: Eukaryota; Metazoa; Chordata; Chondrichthyes; Orectolobiformes; Hemiscylliidae
Source: RefSeq, a predicted model, not a curated record